UGCAAGUCGAGCGCCUCGCAGAGGAGCGGCAGACGGGUGAGUAACGCGUGGGAAUCUACCGUACCCUACGGAAUAGCUCCGGGAAACUGGAAUUAAUACCGUAUACGCCCUUCGGGGGAAAGAUUUAUCGGGGUAUGAUGAGCCCGCGUUGGAUUAGCUAGUUGGUGGGGUAAAGGCCUACCAAGGCGACGAUCCAUAGCUGGUCUGAGAGGAUGAUCAGCCACAUUGGGACUGAGACACGGUCCAGACUCCUACGGGAGGCAGCAGUGGGGAAUUUUGCGCAAUGGGGGAAACCCUGACGCAGCAACGCCGCGUGGAGGAUGAAGUCCCUUGGGACGUAAACUCCUUUCGACCGGGAAGAUAAUGACGGUACCGGAAGAAGAAGCCCCGGCUAACUUCGUGCCAGCAGCCGCGGUAAUACGAGGGGGGCAAGCGUUGUUCGGAAUUAUUGGGCGUAAAGGGUGCGUAGGUGGUUCGGCAAGUCUUGUGUGAAAUCUUCAGGCUCAACUUGAAGUCUGCACAAGAAACUGCCGGGCUUGAGUAUGGGAGAGGUGAGUGGAAUUUCCGGUGUAGCGGUGAAAUGCGUAGAUAUCGGAAGGAACACCUGUGGCGAAAGCGGCUCACUGGACCAUUACUGACACUGAGGCACGAAAGCUAGGGGAGCAAACAGGAUUAGAUACCCUGGUAGUCCUAGCCCUAAACGAUGAUCGCUUGGUGUGGCGGGUAUCCAACCCUGCCGUGCCGUAGCUAACGCGUUAAGCGAUCCGCCUGGGGAGUACGGUCGCAAGGCUGAAACUCAAAGGAAUUGACGGGGGCCCGCACAAGCGGUGGAGCAUGUGGUUUAAUUCGACGCAACCGAAGAACCUUACCUG
Molecule: ribosomal RNA, 872 nt
Filed under: uncultured Acidobacteriaceae bacterium
Lineage: Bacteria; Pseudomonadati; Acidobacteriota; Terriglobia; Terriglobales; Acidobacteriaceae
Description: bacterial SSU rRNA
Rfam family: Bacterial small subunit ribosomal RNA
Source: RNAcentral